Girardinichthys multiradiatus is the source of this 3096-nucleotide long non-coding RNA. RefSeq lists it as uncharacterized. The record is from RefSeq and is a predicted model, not a curated record. Lineage: Eukaryota; Metazoa; Chordata; Actinopteri; Cyprinodontiformes; Goodeidae. The transcript is spliced from 6 exons.
UAAUUUUCAGCAGCUUUCAAUUAGAAAACAAAUCAUGCACUAACACAUAUGUAGGUCAUAGAUCUAAGGGUUUGUUCUACAGGAAAUUCUAUUUGGUUGUGUCUUACAACCUUAUAUGUAAGAAUAUAUAAAACAUUCUAAGAAAAACUCGUUUUGUUCAUUGUGAAUAGUUUCUGAUGUUUGGAGCGGUGUUUAAGCACUAUCAGGUGAAUCUCUGCACCCUCUGCCUGCUUUUUCACCAGUGACGGAUAUCAGUCAAUCCAACAGAUGAGGUCAGCUUGUUUAAUUCACCCACACUGCAUCCUGGGAAAUGAAUAUUCAGCACUCUGACGAUGGAGCUUUGCUGUUGAUGCACUCUGCAGACAUCAGCCAGUGGCAGUUUCACCAACCUGUCAGGAUCUGGAGUCAUCUGCUGCCUGCUGCUAACACCUUUCCAACACUAGGUGCCGCCAGUAGGAGAGUCCUGAGGCGACAGGUGUUGCGCAUCUAUUCAUCAGCUGAGAAGCAUAAAGAGGAUGGUUGCCAACACUUUGUCGCCUGAGUGUUUUGCCUCCGUGGUGCGAUUUCUGCCUGACCUGUCCCAGUCCUCCAUUGUGGUACUGGCUAUUUCCUGGAAUUGGACUGAACCUGGCAAGCGGGGCUUCUUUCCUGACUCUUAUCCUCUCCCUGGCGGUCUCCAUGACGGGAGAUUAGAUUCACCGCUUCUGUUGUGCUUGACCAAGUUUUCAAUAAACUUCUUUAUUUAACAAGUUCUCUGAGUGUCUCUGCAUGUGGGUUAAGUCGGCUGUAAAAAUCAUGACAGAACACUCAGGCCAGCCUAACCCAGUGGAGACCCUUCAGGUCCCAUUCGAGUAUCACGACCUCAAAAUGGUUUUUAGUAAAUCUCGGGCUCUGUCUCUGCCGCCUCAUCGAUCGUACGACUGCGCCAUUAACCUCCUCCCAGGUGCUCCUUUGCCUUCCAGUCGGCUCUAUAGCAUCUCUGGGCCGGAGAGAAGGGUAAUGGAUAAAUAUAUUGCGGAGUCUUUAGCCGUGGGAAUUAUCCAUCCUUCUUCAUCUCCUUUAGGGGCGGGGUUUUUUUUUGUGGGGAAAAAGGACAGAGGUUUACGCCCCUGUAUAGACUAUAGGGGUUUGAAUUCAAUUACAGUAAAGAAUAAAUAUCCUCUUCCUUUGUUAGCUUCUGCGUUUGAGCCUAUACAUGGCGCUGUUGUUUUCUCUAAGCUGGACCUCAGAAAUGCCUACCACUUAGUCAGAAUCCGCCAGGGAAAUGAGUGGAAGACGGCAUUCAAGACUCCCCUGGGAGAUUUUGAAUAUCUAGUUAUGCCUUUCAGCCUAAGUAAUGCCCCAGCAGUUUUUCAGGCACUCGUUGAGAGAUUGUUUGAAUAUUUUUGUAUUUGUAUACCUGGACGACAUUUAGAUUUUUUCCAGAAGUCUCGAGGAACACCGCCACCAUGUUAGACAGGUCCUACAGCGCCUCCUCGAGAACAGACUGUAUGUUAAAGUGGAGAAGUGCGACUUCCAUCAGUCGACCGUCAGCUUCCUGGGGUUCGUGUCGGAGGAGAGACAGGUUCGCGCUGAUCCAGGGAAGGUUCAAGCAGUGAUGGACUAGCCAGUAACUGAUUCCCGGAGGAAGUUGCAGCAGUUCUUGGGGUUCGCCAACUUCUACUGAAGGUUUAUUAGAAAUUACAGCCAGAUGGCGACCCCAUUAACUGCGCUAACUUCCACCAAGACGACCUUCAGCUGGGGACCGGAGGCCGAGACCGCCUUCACCCGACUGAAGAGGCUGUUCUUUCAGGCGUCGGUUCUGAUUCAUCCUGACUCUACAAGGCAGUUUACACUGGAGGUAGACGCCUCGGAUACCGGGGUGGGAGCGGUUCUCUCCCAGCUCUCAGACCGAUAUGGAAGGCUUCACCCCUGCGCCUUUUUCUCCCGUCGGCUGACCCCUGCUGAACGGAACUAUCAGGUUGGAGACAGGGAGCUGCUGGCCAUUAAGUUGGCCCUAGAGGAGUGGAGGCAUUGGCUGGAGGGUGCCGAACACCCCAUGUUGGUCUGGACAGACCAUAAAAAUUUGUCGUACAUCCAGUCAGCUAAGCGUCUUAAUGCACGUCAAUCACGUUGGUCACUUUUCUUUUCCCGAUUUAAUCUGUCUAUUUCCUUUAGGCCAGGAUCCAAGAACCUCAAACCUGACGCUCUGUACCACCAAUUCGGACCUGAAGAUUCAGAAAAAAAGGCAGAGUCGAUCCUGCCACCAAGUUGUACAGUGGGCUCGUUAACCUGGGAGAUAGAGGACCUGGUGCGGCGAGCCCUCCCUGAUGAUCCUGGGCCAGGAACUGGACCCCCUGGAAGGACCUACGUUCCAGCUUCAGUGCGAUCCAGAUUGAUCGGCUGGUUCCAUUCGGCCAAGUUCUCCGCCCACCCUGGUGUCAGUAGGACCAUCGCCGCAAUUUCCAGAAAUUAUUGGUGACCGUCGCCUCACAGAGACGCUAGGGAGUAUGUGAAUGCCUGCGCCACAUGCGCUAGAAGCAAGUCCUCAAAUCGACCUUCCGCAGGUUUGCUCCAGCCUCUCAGCAUCCCCGGCCGACCCUGGUCCCAUGUGGCCUUGGACUUCGUCAUGGGCCUACCACGUUCUCAAGGGAUGACCGUAAUUAUGACCAUUAUCGACCGGUUCUCCAAGGCCUGCCACCUGGUUCCUCUCAAAAAGCUGCCAUCAGCCCUCCAAACAGCUAGAUUGAUGGUCAAACAUGUUUUCCGCCUGCAUGGCAUCCCCAGUGACCUGUUGUCCAACAGGGGGCCUCAGUUUACUUCCCGUGUCUGGAGACAUUUCUGUGACGCCUUGGGGGUGAAGGUGGCGCUAACCUCUGGUCAUCACCCCCAGUCUAAUGGCCAGGUGGUGUUUUGCCUCCGUGGUGCGAUUUCUGCCUGUCCUGUCCCAGUCCUCCAUUGUGGUACUGGCUAUUUCCUGGAAUUGGACUGAACCUGGCAAGCGGGCUUCUUUCCUGACUCUGAUCCUCUCCCUGGCGGUUUCCCUGGAGUCUCCAUGACGGGAGAUUAGAUCCGCCGCUUCUGUUGUGCUUGACCAAGUUUUCAAUAAACUUCUUU